UGGGGAAUUUUGGACAAUGGGGGCAACCCUGAUCCAGCAAUGCCGCGUGAGUGAAGAAGGCCUUCGGGUUGUAAAGCUCUUUUGUCAGGGAAGAAAAGGACUGGGUUAAUACCCUGGUUUCAUGACGGUACCUGAAGAAUAAGCACCGGCUAACUACGUGCCAGCAGCCGCGGUAAUACGUAGGGUGCGAGCGUUAAUCGGAAUUACUGGGCGUAAAGCGUGCGCAGGCGGUUGUGUAAGACAGAUGUGAAAUGCCCGGGCUUAACCUGGGAAUUGCAUUUGUGACUGCACGGCUAGAGUGUGUCAGAGGGGGGUAGAAUUCCACGUGUAGCAGUGAAAUGCGUAGAUAUGUGGAGGAAUACCGAUGGCGAAGGCAGCCCCCUGGGAUAACACUGACGCUCAUGCACGAAAGCGUGGGGAGCAAACA
This 427-nucleotide ribosomal RNA is filed under the name uncultured bacterium. RNAcentral describes it as "bacterial SSU rRNA". It matches the Rfam family "Bacterial small subunit ribosomal RNA", at positions 355 to 774 of the family's 1533-position model. The record is from RNAcentral.